AGUAAGAGUAAUCAUUUUUGUUGUAUGCUUUUGUGAGCUGGAUGUAAAUUAAUUACAGAAGUACAGUGUCAGCGUGAAUUAAUUAUGCAAGUAAGCCGUUUGGCUAUUUCAUUAUUUUAUUUAAAUGGCAAUAGCUUGAGAAGAUCUUUUGUCUUAAUAGAUUAGCCAGAAUUCAUUCGAAAAAGUCUUAGUAUGUUUAAGGUAAUGGAAAAAAAAAAAUUGCUUUCAGUACAUCCUAGCAGAGAUCCUGUUUAAAACGGAUGACAGCCUGUCACGUUCAGUAGCAUAUCAGUCAUCAGAUUUAUUCUAAUUCCUUAAGCUGAACAUUUCAUUCAAGCUUGUAGAUUGUCUUGUCAAGCUACCAAAAGCUUCAUAGCAUUUCUGUCAAGCAUAUAGUUGCACCAGCAGUUCACAAAUAAAUGCUAAGCUACAAAAAUGUUGUUUAUUUUCUUUAACAUUUUAUUCAGAUAACUAAACUGUUCUCUCAUGUUAUUUUCUCUCCAUCUGUUUAUCAGAAGGCAUUGAAGGAGCUACUUUCUAAACGUGCCUCAUCCUGACCAUACCCAGUUCAGGCCAAGGGCCAUUGUUUGUGGAUGUGUUGUUUUUACUCAUAGCAGUCUAGACCACCGUGCUUAUGACAUUCCUCCUGUAAUCACAGAGGUCCAGUGAGCAGCUUCAUUUCCUGCAUAUGUGAAGAAAUGCCACUGCUGCUGUGCACGAGUGAUGCCAAGCAGUACAACUUGUCAUGCCCAGAACAUCUGAGAAGCAAGCCUCAAAAUUUUCAGUGAGAUUUUGUGCAUGAGAAAGCAGUCAUCAAAAUAAGCCUGGGUUUCAGAAGUGCUAAGUAAGGAUUUUGUCUCCUUUGUCUUGUAAGUGGUUUUAGAGCACUUUUGCUCCACCCAGGAAUAACUGCUGUGGGGCCAACAUCCAGCUACUGUCUCAACUUUCUGGAACUGAACCUAAUUUCUUCUUUUCGCCUCUGAUGUCAAGUGUUUUAGCAAUUAAAAAGUGAACGUAGCUUAAUGAAUCAUGGAAUAAUGAAU
Molecule: long non-coding RNA, 1043 nt
Filed under: Phasianus colchicus (ring-necked pheasant)
Lineage: Eukaryota; Metazoa; Chordata; Aves; Galliformes; Phasianidae
Description: lncRNA (ENSPCLG00000008207.1)
Source: RNAcentral